GACGAACGCUGGCGGCGUGCUUAACACAUGCCAGUCGAACGGAAAGGCCCUGCUUUUGUGGGGUGCUCGAGUGGCGAACGGGUGAGUAACACGUGAGUAACCUGCCCUUGACUUUGGGAUAACUUCAGGAAACUGGGGCUAAUACCGGAUAGGAGCUCCUGCUGCAUGGUGGGGGUUGGAAAGUUUCGGCGGUUGGGGAUGGACUCGCGGCUUAUCAGCUUGUUGGUGGGGUAGUUGCUUACCAAGGCUUUGACGGGUAGCCGGCCUGAGAGGGUGACCGGCCACAUUGGGACUGAGAUACGGCCCAGACUCCUACGGGAGGCAGCAGUGGGGAAUAUUGCACAAUGGGCGGAAGCCUGAUGCAGCAACGCCGCGUGCGGGAUGACGGCCUUCGGGUUGUAAACCGCUUUCGCCUGUGACGAAGCGUGAGUGACGGUAAUGGGUAAAGAAGCACCGGCUAACUACGUG
RNAcentral lists this ribosomal RNA (468 nucleotides) under uncultured bacterium. RNAcentral's name for it is "partial 16S ribosomal RNA". It matches the Rfam family "Bacterial small subunit ribosomal RNA", at positions 28 to 507 of the family's 1533-position model. The record is from RNAcentral.